UACGAAGGUGGCAAGCGUUGCUCGGAUUUACUGGGCGUACAGGGAGCGUAGGCGGUUGGAUAAGCCCUCCGUGAAAUCUCCAGGCUUAACCUGGAAAGUGCAGAGGGGACUGUUCAGCUAGAGGAUGGGAGAGGAGCGCGGAAUUCCCGGUGUAGCGGUGAAAUGCGUAGAGAUCGGGAGGAAGGCCGGUGGCGAAGGCGGCGCUCUGGAACAUUUCUGACGCUGAGGCUCGAAAGCGUGGGGAGCAAACAGG
Molecule: ribosomal RNA, 253 nt
Filed under: uncultured bacterium
Lineage: Bacteria
Description: partial 16S ribosomal RNA
Rfam family: Bacterial small subunit ribosomal RNA
Source: RNAcentral